This 568-nucleotide ribosomal RNA is filed under the name Curvularia spicifera. RNAcentral's name for it is "eukaryotic LSU rRNA". The stretch from base 193 to 346 matches the Rfam family "5.8S ribosomal RNA". Lineage: Eukaryota; Fungi; Ascomycota; Dothideomycetes; Pleosporales; Pleosporaceae. The record is from RNAcentral.
UCCGUAGGUGAACCUGCGGAGGGAUCAUUACACAAUAAAAUACGAAGGCCGUUCGCGGCUGGACUAUUUAUUACCCUUGUCUUUUGCGCACUUGUUGUUUCCUGGGCGGGUUCGCUCGCCACCAGGACCACAAUAUAAACCUUUUUUAUGCAGUUGCAAUCAGCGUCAGUAUAACAAAUGUAAAUCAUUUACAACUUUCAACAACGGAUCUCUUGGUUCUGGCAUCGAUGAAGAACGCAGCGAAAUGCGAUACGUAGUGUGAAUUGCAGAAUUCAGUGAAUCAUCGAAUCUUUGAACGCACAUUGCGCCCUUUGGUAUUCCAAAGGGCAUGCCUGUUCGAGCGUCAUUUGUACCCUCAAGCUUUGCUUGGUGUUGGGCGUUUUUGUCCCCCCCCAAAAAGGGGACUCGCCUUAAAAGGAUUGGCAGCCGGCCUACUGGUUUCGCAGCGCAGCACAUUUUUGCGCUUGCAAUCAGCAAAAGAGGACGGCAAUCCAUCAAGACUCCUUCUCACGUUUGACCUCGGAUCAGGUAGGGAUACCCGCUGAACUUAAGCAUAUCAAUAGCCCGG